RNAcentral lists this long non-coding RNA (917 nucleotides) under Marmota monax (woodchuck). Lineage: Eukaryota; Metazoa; Chordata; Mammalia; Rodentia; Sciuridae. The record is from RNAcentral.
UUUGACUUUCAUUAUGGAUUUUACUGUGUUCUCUGUGUAAUUAUCAAUUUCAGACAUUAUUUAUUUUGAUGUUUAUAUUGUACCUAAUUUGGUGUUAACUUCUGGGUCUUGCAUUCACUUGACAUAGCAUCAACAAUUAUUGAACUUGUCCUUGAUUUCUAGCAUGACAAGAUGUCUUGCAAUUAACUUGUGUUUUCCCUGACCCUUACUUGGAAAAGCAAUUUCUCCAUGCAGCUCUGAUUUCUUUUGAGGCUGGCAUUUUGCAACCAGUCAGAUAUUCUAUUGCUUCAACUUACCUUCAUGGGCAGAGAUAGGAAAUUUAUUUUUAAGAAUGUAGAUAUCAUGAGUUUAUAUUAAUAUAUUUUACUGAAUUUUCUUUUAUAUUUUUAAUAUUUAAAUUAAUACAUUAAAAUAAUUUUCAUGUUAUCCUAAGAUAUAUUUGAAUAGUUUCAAAGUUACAAUGACAAUAGUACAAUUAACAUACCUAUGAUUUAGGUUAUUCCUUUGCUGGACCUUAAAAUAUAUACCACUGAGGAUAUAUAGAAUAGAGUGUUUGAAUGUCUCCUGGAAACAGUUCAUGUCACCAAAUUGAUAAAUGGCUAGGAUAAUUUAUUUAUAUUCAUUUGAGAUUUACAUUCACUUUUUAUAUUUUUAAAAAUUUUUGAAUAGCUAAAACAUGCAUGCCAAAAUAUAUAAGAUUUUAUGUUUUAGGAAGUCACUUGCCCAUUUUCAUCUGUAUUUUACUUUUCCUCUUGACUUCUGUAUUUGUCUAGUUUGGCAUCUGGUUUAUACUUCCAGUGUUUCUUUUUUGUAAAAAGAUAUAAGUAUGCCUAUAUUUUGUGUACUUAAUUCAUACAUGUAAAGUGUAUCUAGUAUAUGAAUUGUUAUAUUUUUUUCCAUUUACUUUUGAAAUGCUG